CAUGCAGUCGACGAUGAAGGGGAGCUUGCUUUCUGGAUUAGUGGCGAACGGGUGAGUAACACGUGAGUAACCUGCCCUUGACUCUGGGAUAAGCACUGGAAACGGUGUCUAAUACCGGAUACGAACUUCCACCGCAUGGUGAGGGGUUGGAAAGAAUUUUGGUCAAGGAUGGACUCGCGGCCUAUCAGCUAGUUGGUGAGGUAAUGGCUCACCAAGGCGACGGCGGGUAGCCGGCCUGAGAGGGUGACCGGCCACACUGGGACUGAGACACGGCCCAGACUCCUACGGGAGGCAGCAGUGGGGAAUAUUGCACAAUGGGCGCAAGCCUGAUGCAGCAACGCCGCGUGAGGGACGACGGCCUUCGGGUUGUAAACCUCUUUUAGUAGGGAAGAAGCGAAAGUGACGGUACCUGCAGAAAAAGCACCGGCUAACUACGUGCCAGCAGCCGCGGUAAUACGUAGGGUGCAAGCGUUAUCCGGAAUUAUUGGGCGUAAAGAGCUCGUAGGCGGUCUGUCGCGUCUGCUGUGAAAUCUGGGGGCUCAACCCCCAGCCUGCAGUGGGUACGGGCAGACUAGAGUGCGGUAGGGGAGAUUGGAAUUCCUGGUGUAGCGGUGGAAUGCGCAGAUAUCAGGAGGAACACCAAUGGCGAAGGCAGAUCUCUGGGCCGUAACUGACGCCGAGGAGCGAAAGCAUGGGGAGC
This 700-nucleotide ribosomal RNA is filed under the name uncultured bacterium. Its description in RNAcentral is "bacterial SSU rRNA". It matches the Rfam family "Bacterial small subunit ribosomal RNA", at positions 54 to 769 of the family's 1533-position model. The record is from RNAcentral.